RNAcentral lists this ribosomal RNA (468 nucleotides) under uncultured bacterium. RNAcentral describes it as "partial 16S ribosomal RNA". It matches the Rfam family "Bacterial small subunit ribosomal RNA", at positions 28 to 507 of the family's 1533-position model. The record is from RNAcentral.
GACGAACGCUGGCGGCGUGCUUAACACAUGCAAGUCGAACGGACAGGCGCUGCUUUUGUGGGGUGCUCGAGUGGCGAACGGGUGAGUAACACGUGAGUAUCCUGCCCUUGACUUUGGGAUAACUUCAGGAAACUGGGGCUCAUACCGGAUAGAAGCUCUUGCUGCGCGUGGGGGAUUGGAGAGUUUCGGCGGUUGGGGCUGGUCGCGAGGCUUAUCAGCUGGAUGGGGGGGUAGGUGCUUACGAGGGUUUUGAAGGGUAGCCGGCCUGGGAGGGUGACCAGCCACAUGGGGACUGCGAUACGGAGCAGAAGGCUACGGGAGGCAGUAGUGGAGAAUAUUGCAGAACGGGGGGAAGUCUGAUGCAGAAGCGUCGGGUGCGUGAUGCCCGCCUUCUGGUUAUAAACCGAUUUGUAAGGUGAUAAAGCGUGCGUGACGGUAAUGAGUAAGAAAGCAACGGCUAACUACGUG